RNAcentral lists this unclassified non-coding RNA (68 nucleotides) under Spiroplasma penaei. The record is from RNAcentral. RNAcentral also lists the same sequence under 2 other names. Lineage: Bacteria; Bacillati; Mycoplasmatota; Mollicutes; Entomoplasmatales; Spiroplasmataceae.
GCGAGAGCUUAUUUACAAAUUUUAGAAUGUUUAUUAUCUAGUUUUGAGAGGAUAAUUCCACUCAAGUG